This 519-nucleotide ribosomal RNA is filed under the name Rochinia hystrix. Its description in RNAcentral is "partial large subunit ribosomal RNA". It matches the Rfam family "Bacterial large subunit ribosomal RNA", at positions 1831 to 2597 of the family's 2925-position model. The record is from RNAcentral. Lineage: Eukaryota; Metazoa; Arthropoda; Malacostraca; Decapoda; Epialtidae.
CCACAUGAGAGAUUUUUGUGGUCUGACCUGCUCACUGAACAUAGAAUUUAAAGAGCCGCGGUAUUUUGACCGUGCAAAGGUAGCAUAAUCAUUAGUUUUUUAAUUGAAAACUUGUAUGAACGGUUAGACAAAAGAAACCCUGUCUUCUUUAAUUUAACUUGAAUUUAACUUUUAAGUGAAAAGGCUUAAAUUUUUUAAAGGGACGAUAAGACCCUAUAAAGCUUUAUAAUGAGUUGCUGUUUUUUGAAAUAUUUUAUAAAAAAAAAUAAUAACAAUCUUAUUUUGUUGGGGUGACACUGAUAUAAGUAUAUUUAACUGUCAGGAGAAGAAAUCAUAGAUCUAUGAGUGAAUAAAUUGAUCCUAGUUAAAGAUUAAAAGACAAAGUUACUUUAGGGAUAACAGCGUUAUUUCUUUUGAGAGUUCUUAUCGAAAAAGAAGUUUGCGACCUCGAUGUUGAAUUAAAGAAUCUUUAUAGUGCAGCUGCUAUAGUAGGAAGGUCUGUUCGACCUUUAAAUCUUU